ACACUACAAAUUGAGAAAACUUACUUAACGGCCUCUUAAAAUAAAUUAUCUAAAACUUCAAAAUUUAACUCAAUUAAUUCGUGCAACAAUUUUGAAAAAUGACAUCCAACAUGUUUACAAUUCAAAUAUAAGUAUCUGAAACCAUUUUCCGUAUCUUCAGAUUGCGACCUCAUUGUAUGAAACAAAAAAAAUUAUCUAAAUGGUUACAAAAAUAAUAAAACUAAGGGAGCAGUAAAAAAAUGAUUCUGCUGCCAGAAAUAAAACUUUGCCAAUUCUGUCAGUAACUGUUGUCAAAAGUUAGUCACACGUAAAGAUAUAAAUCAGUAAUGCAAAGAGUGUAACAUCCCACCAAAUGCCAACCAAAUGCUGUAAGAAUCAUGUCUUUCU
Molecule: long non-coding RNA, 387 nt
Filed under: Durio zibethinus
Lineage: Eukaryota; Viridiplantae; Streptophyta; Magnoliopsida; Malvales; Malvaceae
Description: long non-coding RNA (DZIB_LNC001999)
Source: RNAcentral